AUGGAGCCUGGUCCAGGGCCAGCCAGGGUGCUCAGUCUCGCCCACCCGCGUCACGGUGACCAAUCAGACGUCAGCCGGGCCUCCCCGUCAGAUAAGGAAGUGCACUGUGAUCCCACAAGGGCCCGAGUGCUUCUGCCCCCAAAUCCAUGUGUCGCGAUCCUUCUCCCAGGGGCGGUACUGAGAGGGGCCUUGGAGGUGAUCUGUUGUGAUGCUGGAGUCCCCCUGAAUGGACUUAGCACCUCUGAAAGGGACGUGUGGCGCUCUCUGCUACCCGGGCCUCGGACUCCCAUCCUCCAGGAUGUGACGCAGUCUGUGUUGCUUGAGACCCACCUGGUCCCUGGCCCUUGGUCCCAGUGGCCUGGACGUCCAAGGGCAUCCACUUCCGACCCCAAGAGUGUCCCGUGCAGGACAAGCAAUGACGCAGCAGGAGAAGACACUGCCCAAAGUCAGCCUGACCAAGAGCCAGAGCCUGUGAGCCCUGAGCUGCCGUCCAGGGGGCCCAGAAAGGAAUGCAGGAGGCACCCUGGAGGCGAGAACCCACGUGGACGUCGGUCAGGGUGCCUCUGCAAGGAGUGUCCAGUGCCCUGCAGUGGGCAGCAACAGAGAUGGCAGCUUUGGAGCCACCAAAAAGGCCAGACAAGACACUGGGGGAAGCCACACCUGGUGACGAGCAUUCCCUGGUGGCCGCACAGAAGAGCCGGCGCGGACGAGGGGAGACAGCAACACUCUCUGAAGAACCAACCGGAGUCCCAGGAGGACCCCCGAUCCCUUCCGAGAACGGCACAUCCAAGCCCCCGAGGUCCUGCCGCUCCAAGGUGCACCCCCUUCUAAAUGCCAGCACACAGGGACCACGCGGCCACACACAAGCCUUCAGGGGACAAGCCGCAGCAGAACAGAGCAGGUCCAGCAGGCGCAUGCUGGCUCUCUGGGGCUGUGGCACCCCGGCCCGGUGACGCACACCACCCGUGUCUCCUCAGGGUCUGCAGGCCCGAGCCACGGCAGGCGGUUCCCCUGAGGCUGUGGGGGGACAUCAGCCACUCCCCAGCUUCUGGGGCUGAUGGCUCCCUGGCUGGGGAGGUUGACUGGGGUUCUCCGCCACCUUCACCUGUGAGCGCGUUUGUGCUCCCAUCCCCCCUCCUGUUUUUGGUACUGGGGAUUGAACUUGGGGCACUCAGCCACUGGGCCACAUCCCAGCCCUAUUUUGUAUUUUAUGUAGAGACAGGGUCUCACUGGGGUGCUUAGGGACUCGCUAAAUUGCUGAGGCUGGCUUUGAACUCGCAAUCCUCCUGCCUCAGCCUCCCAAGCUGCUGGGAGGACAGGUGUGCACCCUGUGCCUCCUGAUCCCCCUUCCUAAAGGAUGCCAGUCAUCUGGGAUUAGGGUGCUUCCUGAUGCCUCAUCCUAACCCAAUUUCUAUGAGGACCCUAAUUCCAAAAAGUGGAGGGUGUGGUGGCUGAUGCUCAGACACGUGUGUGUGUGUAAAUGUGUCUGCGUGGGCACACGUGUGUAUAUGUAUCCCCAUGCAUGCAGACACAUGUACAUGUACAACUGUGUGCACCUGUAUGUGGGUGUAUGCACAUAUGUACAUGUGAGUCUGUGUGAGUGUAUGUGCAUAUGUGAGUGAGCAUGUGAAUGUGUGUAUGUAUGUGUGAGCAUGUGUGUAUGUAUGUGUGAGCAUGUGUGUGCAAAUGCAUGUGUAUGUGUGAAAGCGUGUAUAUGCGAGUGGAUAAGUGUGUGUACAUGUGUAUAUGUAUGUUUGUAUGCACAUCUGUCCAUGCACGUACGUGCACAUGUAUGUAUGUGUGAGCACAUAGGUGUAUGUAUGUGUUUGCAUGCAUGUGUGUUCAUGCAUGUGUGGGCACAUAUGUGUGUGUGUGCGUGUGUGGAUGCAUGUGUUCUGGAGCGGCCGGAAGCCAGGGUCCCUGUCCUGACAUCUGCAGAGGAGCCGGGGCUCGGGUAGAAAGGGCACGUGCAGACAGGACAGGCUGGGGGGCCCACAGCUGGGGCAGGAGGAAGGACCCCCCCCCAGUAGAAUGGACUGGCCACACCAGAGAGUGACGUAUGACCCCAUUUUGUGCUGCUUUAGUGAAAUGCUGGGUCUUCGUCAAGGACGAGAGGUUCCGUUAGCUUGGGUUUUAGGGGUUUGAAGGCAUGUCACCAGCACCGUCUAGCUCAGGAGCAGCCUCAGGGCAGAUGGCAUUGCAAAGAGGGCAGGGAGUUUGUGCAUGGACGAGGUCCCACCACAGGACAGGGAGCCAGGGGAGUGGGGCUGGCAGUGAUCUCCCACCAGGCCCCGUCUCUGAAAGAUUCGCCAUGUGGCCACGGUGGGGACCCAGCUCCCGAUAUGUGCCCCUCGCACUAGAGCUGGCCACAGCAGAGAGACAUGCAGAGCGGCUGCAGAGCAGGGGUGUCCGUCAGUCACGGGGCCCUCUGUGGACCUCGGCCAGGGCACGCAGAGUGCCUGACCUCGUGGACGGGGGCGUGGCCCUGGCCCACGUGCAUGCCACCUCUGCUGUGGCUCAUGCCCUGGACAUCACUGGACAAUUAGAAAGGUGAUUCCAGCGACUGACCACUGUGGCUGGAGCGUCCCCGGGCUCCUCACUCUGGCUGAGGUCUGGGGCCACCCUGGCCUGGCGCUGCCUGUCAGCUGCAAGGGAACUGCGUCACCUGUGGAACCCAGGUCCUCGGGGCAGGAGGAGCACGUUCCCACAUCUCUCCCCUGGACUCUGGGAAGUCCAUGUUCCUCCUGACCACAAAAACGCUCAGGACAGUGGCAGGCACUCACGGAGGGCAGGAGUGGGCGGUCCAUCUGUCCUAAGACCCCCCUGCUGGGUGGCGGCCCCCAGGUCUGGACCCUGGAGGUUCCUGGACAGAGAGCUGUUGCCGUGGCGUGCAGCACCCUGGGCGCAGACGGUCCUGAGCACUAACAGCGAGUCCUGCUUUCCGAUGAACUGUCCACCACCGUCCAUCAUUCCCCCCGUUUCCCCAAUUCUGGCGGUUCCUGGGAGGCGCUGCUGGAGCUCAUCACUGUCUCAUGGGCUAGGACACCGUGGUGGGGCCAACCAGCAGACUGGAGCCUUCGAGUCCAGCUCAGCCACCUGUCACCCGGGCAAACUGUCCUCAACUGCAAUGACACAAAUGGGGUGACCAAGGAGGGAGCAGGGCUGGGGCAGGGCUCCCCAGCUAAGGGUGCCUGAGAGGAGUAAGACUAUGCAGAGGUCCUGACUCAGGGUGGGGUCACGUCCAGUAAGCUCCAUGCAAUUUGAAGAUGCCUCAGAUACACCUGACCUGCCGCACCACCAGCUCAGCAGCUCGGCCCAGCGCAGAGGGGCGCGGGUUCCCCAGCCAUGGUGAGGCUGACAGGAGGCGCCGCAGGAGCAGAUGGGAGGGUGGACUGCUGGCCAGGGGAAGACGCAAACUGAACACACAUCACCUUUGCAAGAUUACAGAGUCAAAAAACUACAAGUCAAGCCACGGUGAAUCAGGGCGCCUUUGCACGUGUACGUGAGAGGCAGCCACUGCCUCCUGAGCAUCUACACUGCACCAGGUCCCCGGAGCUGCUCGCGGGUCGGCAUCCCAACCACAGGUGACCCAGCAUGGGAGACACUCAGAGCAACUCUCUCCAAACGGCAAGAGCAUCUUCAGGAAUAGUCACGUAAUAACCCUUAUUCCCUUAAUUUAGGAGUUUGUAAUCGAUGUCGAUGUUAAAGGUAUUGUACAAAUCCAGGAAAAUCCCUGACAAUGAGCACCGAAUUUUUUCUUUACUAAAAAUAAAUAAAACAAAAUAAUCACGCCUUGGGAUCAGCACGUGCGGCCGCCUCCCACGUCAAACACGGAUGAGAGCCCAGGGCUUCGCAGGUGGCUGGUGCUGAAG
This 3872-nucleotide long non-coding RNA is filed under the name Ictidomys tridecemlineatus (thirteen-lined ground squirrel). RNAcentral describes it as "lncRNA (ENSSTOG00000030041.1)". Lineage: Eukaryota; Metazoa; Chordata; Mammalia; Rodentia; Sciuridae. The record is from RNAcentral.